RNAcentral lists this ribosomal RNA (253 nucleotides) under uncultured bacterium. RNAcentral's name for it is "partial 16S ribosomal RNA". It matches the Rfam family "Bacterial small subunit ribosomal RNA", at positions 524 to 776 of the family's 1533-position model. The record is from RNAcentral.
UACGAAGGGGGCUAGCGUUGCUCGGAAUCACUGGGCGUAAAGCGCACGUAGGCGGAUCUUUAAGUCAGGGGUGAAAUCCCGGAGCUCAACUCCGGAACUGCCUUUGAUACUGGGGAUCUUGAGUUCGGGAGAGGUGAGUGGAACUGCGAGUGUAGAGGUGAAAUUCGUAGAUAUUCGCAAGAACACCAGUGGCGAAGGCGGCUCACUGGCCCGAUACUGACGCUGAGGCACGAAAGCGUGGGGAGCAACAGGG